AUCUCCGGCAUAAGAAGACUUUGGGUAAUGAUAACAGCUACUUUGUUUUGUUUUUGGUUUUGUUUUUGUUUUAAUUUUUUUUAAUGUUUAUUUAUUUUUGAGAGAGAGAGAGAGAGAGAGAGAGAGAGAGAGAGAGAGCAGGGGAGGGGUAGAGAGAAAGAGAGCACACUUUGUAUUGAAUAUUUACCAUGUUUUAGGCUCUAUUCUAAGCACAUCAUGUAUAAUAGUUCACUGAAUCCUCACAGCAAACCUGUAAAGACCAUGCUAUCACUAUCCCCAUUUUACAGAUUAGGAAACUGAGGCCCAGAGAGGUGAAUUAAUUUCCCUAGAUUCACUAAGGAUUCUAAAUCAGGUUUGGUCAAGAAGUCCACACUCUAACCCUUACAUUAUAUUCUCUUUUUUAAACUAAUGCCAGAAUAUGUCACAUUAUCUUUUAAAAUGAAUAAGCCAUUUGCUUCAGCAAUUCCACCCUAGGAACUGAGCCUAAGGAGGUAUAAGCCUUCAGUGGCAGAGAUGCAUUAUUAUUUAAAAUGUAGAACACAACCGGCAUCUCCAUGAAGAGGGGUUAUUUAAAUAGGUUGUGGUUCCUGCGUAUAAAAAGAGCUGUUCAGAAUGACAUUAUCCAUAUGUACCAACAUGGAAACACAUCUACACUACAUUUUUAAUAGAAAAGUCCAAGAAAUUGCAUUUUUAUAAACAGCGAUUUGGUUUGAACAAUGGGAUUGCUAAUGAUUUUUAAUUUCUUCUUUUGGCUGGCCUACAGUCUCUAGUUUUCCUACAACGAACAUGUACUACCUUUGUAAUAAGCAAGAAACCCAAUAAAAUUUAUUGGAUAAAAGAAUAAACAGCUGGAAAUCAUUCUCUCCUGAGGAAUUAGCAUCUUGUCUGACGACAAGGGCUACAGUUGCUUUGCUGGAACCUUCCAUCUAUCUCUCAGGAUCUGCUCUCAGCCAACGGGGAGACGAUGCAGAUGGAGGAAACAAUGCCUAAGAUGAUUGAGCCAUGAGUCCAGAACAGACGAGGAGCCACAACCCAAGCCCAGCUGAUCGUUUGCCAAACCCCACAGGCUUCCAUUUUGCACAGGACCUUAUGCUGGCUCUGCCCAGUUGUCCUAUCGCCACCUUCCCCACCCGCUCUCUUCUCUCUUCUCUGCCAACGAAAACAUAAUAAGGCCAUUUAUGUAAUUUUACAUUUUCUAGUAGCCACAUUAAAAAGCAAGUGAAAACAGGUGAAAUCA
Herpailurus yagouaroundi (jaguarundi) is the source of this 1237-nucleotide long non-coding RNA. RefSeq lists it as uncharacterized. NCBI's taxonomy places the organism in Eukaryota, Metazoa, Chordata, Mammalia, Carnivora, Felidae. The record is from RefSeq and is a predicted model, not a curated record. The transcript has 2 exons.